GCGUCCAUAGCUCAGUUGGUAGAGCAGUUGCCUCUUAAGCAAACGGUCGAAGGUUCAAAUCCUUCUGGACGCA
RNAcentral lists this transfer RNA (73 nucleotides) under bacterium. Its description in RNAcentral is "tRNA-Lys". It matches the Rfam family "tRNA". Rfam says of the family: Transfer RNA (tRNA) molecules are approximately 80 nucleotides in length. Their secondary structure includes four short double-helical elements and three loops (D, anti-codon, and T loops). RNAcentral also lists the same sequence under 1 other name. The record is from RNAcentral.